This 468-nucleotide ribosomal RNA is filed under the name uncultured bacterium. RNAcentral describes it as "partial 16S ribosomal RNA". It matches the Rfam family "Bacterial small subunit ribosomal RNA", at positions 28 to 507 of the family's 1533-position model. The record is from RNAcentral.
GACGAACGCUGGCGGCGUGCUUAACACAUGCAAGUCGAACGGAAAGGCCCUGCUUUUGUGGGGUGCUCGAGUGGCGAACGGGUGAUUAACACGUGAGUAACCUGCCCUUGACUUUGGGAUAACUUCAUGAAACUGGGGCUAAUACCGGAUAGGAGCUCCUGCUGCAUGGUGGGGGUUGGAAAGUUUCGGCGGUUGGGGAUGGACUCGCGGCUUAUCAGCUUGUUGGUGGGGUAGUGGCUUACCAAGGCUUUGACGGGUAGCCGGCCUGAGAGGGUGACCGGCCACAUUGGGACUGAGAUACGGCCCAGACUCCUACGGGAGGCAGCAGGGGGGAAUAUUGCACAAUGGGCGGAAGCCUGAUGCAGCAACGCCGCGUGCGGGAUGACGGCCUUCGGGUUGUAAACCGCUUUCGCCUGUGACGAAGCGUGAGUGACGGUAAUGGGUAAAGAAGCACCGGCUAACUACGUG